CUGGCGGUGCAGUAUUAUCAG
RNAcentral lists this non-coding RNA (21 nucleotides) under Arabidopsis thaliana (thale cress). The record is from RNAcentral. Lineage: Eukaryota; Viridiplantae; Streptophyta; Magnoliopsida; Brassicales; Brassicaceae.